RNAcentral lists this ribosomal RNA (223 nucleotides) under uncultured prokaryote. Its description in RNAcentral is "partial 16S ribosomal RNA". It matches the Rfam family "Bacterial small subunit ribosomal RNA", at positions 524 to 746 of the family's 1533-position model. The record is from RNAcentral.
GACGUGGGGGGCCAGCGUUGCUCGGAAUUACUGGGUGUAAAGGGUUCGUAGGCGGUGUGGCGAGUCGGGAGUGAAAUCUCUGGGCUUAACUCAGAGACUGCUUCCGAAACUGCUGUGCUUGAGUGUGGGAGAGGCGCGUGGAAUUGCAGGUGUAGCGGUGAAAUGCGUAGAUAUCUGCAGGAACACCCGUGGCGAAAGCGGCGCGCUGGACCACUACUGACGC